RNAcentral lists this ribosomal RNA (253 nucleotides) under uncultured bacterium. Its description in RNAcentral is "partial 16S ribosomal RNA". It matches the Rfam family "Bacterial small subunit ribosomal RNA", at positions 524 to 776 of the family's 1533-position model. The record is from RNAcentral.
UACGUAGGGUGCGAGCGUUGUCCGGAAUUAUUGGGCGUAAAGAGCUCGUAGGCGGUCUGUCGCGUCUGCUGUGAAAUCCCGAGGCUCAACCUCGGGCUUGCAGUGGGUACGGGCAGGCUAGAGUGCGGUAGGGGAGAAUGGAACUCCUGGUGUAGCGGUGGAAUGCGCAGAUAUCAGGAAGAACACCGACGGCGAAGGCAGUUCUCUGGGCCGUAACUGACGCUGAGGAGCGAAAGCGUGGGGAGCGAACAGG